Molecule: ribosomal RNA, 1203 nt
Filed under: metagenome
Description: bacterial LSU rRNA
Rfam family: Bacterial large subunit ribosomal RNA
Source: RNAcentral
AGAGAAGGUGCGCCGGUGAGGGUGAAGGACUUGCUCCGUAAGCCCAUGCCGGUCGAAGAUACCAGGCCGCUGCGACUGUUUAUUAAAAACACAGCACUCUGCAAACACGAAAGUGGACGUAUAGGAUGUGACGCCUGCCCGGUGCCGGAAGGUUAAUUGAUGGGGUUAGCUAACGCGAAGCUCUUGAUCGAAGCCCCGGUAAACGGCGGCCGUAACCAUAACGGUCCUAAGGUAGCGAAAUUCCUUGUCGGGUAAGUUCCGACCUGCACGAAUGGCGUAACGAUGGCGGCGCUGUCUCCACCCGAGACUCAGUGAAAUUGAAAUCGCUGUGAAGAUGCAGUGUAUCCGCGGCUAGACGGAAAGACCCCGUGAACCUUUACUAUAGCUUUGCACUGGACUUUGAAUUUGCUUGUGUAGGAUAGGUGGGAGGCUUUGAAGCGUGGACGCCAGUUCGCGUGGAGCCAACCUUGAAAUACCACCCUGGCAACUUUGAGGUUCUAACUCAGGUCCGUUAUCCGGAUCGAGGACAGUGUAUGGUGGGUAGUUUGACUGGGGCGGUCUCCUCCUAAAGAGUAACGGAGGAGUACGAAGGUGCGCUCAGACCGGUCGGAAAUCGGUCGUAGAGUAUAAAGGCAAAAGCGCGCUUGACUGCGAGACAGACACGUCGAGCAGGUACGAAAGUAGGUCUUAGUGAUCCGGUGGUUCUGUAUGGAAGGGCCAUCGCUCAACGGAUAAAAGGUACUCCGGGGAUAACAGGCUGAUACCGCCCAAGAGUUCAUAUCGACGGCGGUUUUGGCACCUCGAUGUCGGCUCAUCACAUCCUGGGGCUGAAGCCGGUCCCAAGGGUAUGGCUGUUCGCCAUUUAAAGUGGUACGCGAGCUGGGUUUAGAACGUCGUGAGACAGUUCGGUCCCUAUCUGCCGUGGACGUUUGAGAUUUGAGAGGGGCUGCUCCUAGUACGAGAGGACCGGAGUGGACGAACCUCUGGUGUUCCGGUUGUCACGCCAGUGGCAUUGCCGGGUAGCUAUGUUCGGAAUAGAUAACCGCUGAAAGCAUCUAAGCGGGAAACUAGCCUCAAGAUGAGAUCUCACUGGGACCUUGAGUCCCCUGAAGGGCCGUCGAAGACUACGACGUUGAUAGGUUGGGUGUGUAAGCGCUGUGAGGCGUUGAGCUAACCAAUACUAAUUGCCCGUGAGGCUUGAAC